This 301-nucleotide ribosomal RNA is filed under the name uncultured bacterium. Its description in RNAcentral is "partial 16S ribosomal RNA". It matches the Rfam family "Bacterial small subunit ribosomal RNA", at positions 509 to 808 of the family's 1533-position model. The record is from RNAcentral.
CAGCCGCCGCGGUAAAACGUAGGUCCCGAGCGUUGUCCGGAUUUAUUGGGCGUAAAGGGAGCGCAGGCGGUUUAGUAAGUCUGAAGUUAAAGGCAUUGGCUCAACCAAUGUAUGCUUUGGAAACUGUUGGACUUGAGUGCAGAAGGGGAGAGUGGGAUUCCAUGUGUAGCGGUGAAAUGCGUAGAUAUAUGGAGGAACACCGGUGGCGAAAGCGGCUCUCUGGUCUGUCACUGACGCUGAGGCUCGAAAGCGUGGGUAGCGAACAGGAUUAGAUACCCCUGUAGUCCCUGUCUCUUAUACA